CCAAUAGCGUAUAUUAAAGUUGUUGCAGUUAAAAAGCUCGUAGUUGAAUUUCGGGAUUGACGUGACGGUCAUGCCUUAAGGGGUAUGAACUGUUACUGUUGAUUUCUCACCUUCUGGAGAAACUUGAUGUCCUUUAUUGGGUGUCUUGCGGAUCCAGGACCUUUACCUUGAAAAAAUUAGAGUGUUUAAAGCAGGCAUUUUUGCUCGAAUACAUUAGCAUGGAAUAAUAGAAUAGGACGGCAUGGUUCUAUUUUGUUGGUUUCUAGGAUCACCGUAAUGAUUAAUAGGGAUAGUUGGGGGCAUUAGUAUUCAAUUGUCAGAGGUGAAAUUCUUGGAUUUAUUGAAGACUAACUACUGCGAAAGCAUUUGCCAAGGAUGUUUUCAUUAAUCAAGAACGAAAGUUAGGGGAUCGAAGACGAUCAGAUACCGUCGUAGUCUUAACCAUAAACUAUGCCGACUAGGAAUCAGACGAUGUUAAUUUUUUAAUGACUCGUUUGGCACCUUACG
RNAcentral lists this non-coding RNA (507 nucleotides) under uncultured Glomeromycotina. RNAcentral's name for it is "partial small subunit ribosomal RNA". It matches the Rfam family "Eukaryotic small subunit ribosomal RNA", at positions 591 to 1092 of the family's 1831-position model. The record is from RNAcentral. Lineage: Eukaryota; Fungi; Glomeromycota. RNAcentral also lists the same sequence under 1 other name.